This 253-nucleotide ribosomal RNA is filed under the name uncultured prokaryote. RNAcentral describes it as "partial 16S ribosomal RNA". It matches the Rfam family "Bacterial small subunit ribosomal RNA", at positions 524 to 776 of the family's 1533-position model. The record is from RNAcentral.
GACGGAAGGUGCAAGCGUUGCUCGGAAUCAUUGGGCGUAAAGGGUGCGCAGGCGGCCGGGUGUGUCAGAUGUGAAAUCCCGAGGCUCAACCUCGGAACUGCGUCUGAAACUACUCGGCUAGAGUACUGGAGAGGGUAACGGAAUUCACGGUGUAGCAGUGAAAUGCGUAGAUAUCGUGAGGAACACCAGAGGCGAAGGCGGUUACCUGGACAGUUACUGACGCUCAGGCACGAAAGCAUGGGGAGCAAAAGGG